AGCCCUUGGACGUUAUACUAUCUCAAGAUCAUAAUCAAAUUGUGGCAUUGUUGGAGUAUGUCAGAUAUGAUUUUCUACCGCAAAUUCAGCAGUGCUCUAUCAAAAUCAUGUCUAUUCUGAGUUCUCGCAUGGUUGGGCUCAUACAGUUACUGUUAAAAUCCAAUGCUGCAAGCUGUUUGGUUGAGGAUUAUGCAGCCUGCCUUGAGCUACGUUCAGAAGAGUGCCAAAUUAUAGAGAACAGUGCUAAUGAUCCAGGGGUUUUGAUAAUGCAGCUUCUGAUAGAUAAUAUUGGUAGACCAGCUCCAAAUAUUACACAUUUACUGCUUAAGUUUGAUCUUGACACCCCAGUUGAGCGAACAGUUCUACAGCCAAAAUUUCACUACAGU
This 386-nucleotide unclassified non-coding RNA is filed under the name Hevea brasiliensis (rubber tree). Lineage: Eukaryota; Viridiplantae; Streptophyta; Magnoliopsida; Malpighiales; Euphorbiaceae. The record is from RNAcentral.